GUAGGGAAUAUUGGGCAAUGGAAGGAAUUCUGACCCAGCCAUGCCGCGUGCAGGAAUACAGUCCUAUGGACUUUAAACUGCUUUUAUUAUAGAGUAACCUGGGGGACGUGUCCCCCACUGCAAGUAUAUAAUGAAUAAGCAUCGGCUAACUCCGUGCCAGCAGCCGCGGUAAUACGGGGGAUGCAAGCGUUAUCCGGAUUUAUUGGGUUUAAAGGGUGCGCAGGCUGAUCGGUAAGUCAUGGGUGAAAAGUCACUGCUUAACAGUGAUCGUGCCUAUGGUACUGCCGGACUAGAGUUUAAGAGGUGUAACUGGAAUGUGAUGAGUAGCGGUGAAAUGCUUAGAUAUGUCACAGAACGCCAAUCGUGAAGACAGGUUACAAACUUAAAACUGACGCUCAUGCACGAAAGCGUGGGGAUCAAACAGGAUUAGAUACCCCGGUAGUCC
RNAcentral lists this ribosomal RNA (445 nucleotides) under uncultured bacterium. Its description in RNAcentral is "partial 16S ribosomal RNA". It matches the Rfam family "Bacterial small subunit ribosomal RNA", at positions 354 to 796 of the family's 1533-position model. The record is from RNAcentral.